Long non-coding RNA from Bacillus rossius redtenbacheri, 349 nucleotides. RefSeq lists it as uncharacterized. The transcript is spliced from 2 exons. NCBI's taxonomy places the organism in Eukaryota, Metazoa, Arthropoda, Insecta, Phasmatodea, Bacillidae. The record is from RefSeq and is a predicted model, not a curated record.
GUCUUUUGGUGUGUCUCGUCCUGUAGAAGAUGAAUCGCGUCAGUUGGAAACACUUGAGUCAUCCACAUCUCAGACGACAAGGUCUAAGCAUGUUUCUGGUAGGUAAACAAAAGGACAAGAAAACAAUGUAUAAAUCUGCAUCAGAUUUGGCUAGGGAGGAAAUAGUUAAUCUUGAAAAGGCAAACCUGGAAGAGAGAAGACAAAUGAGAGUUGCUUUAGAAAGGUUGGCAGCAGCACAGGAGAAGAUUGCUGAUGCCCAACUUCGCAGGGCAGAAGUUGCAGAAAAGAAACUUGCCUUGCAAGAAAGUUUAUACUCAUAAUUUUAUUUAAUAAAAUUAACACUCCAGUA